UACAGAGGUCCCGAGCGUUGUUCGGAUUCAUUGGGCGUAAAGGGUGCGUAGGCGGCGGGGCAAGUCUGAUGUGAAAUCCCGGGGCUCAACCCCGGAACUGCAUUGGAUACUGCCUUGCUUGAGUACUGGAGAGGGAACUGGAAUUUACGGUGUAGCAGUGAAAUGCGUAGAGAUCGUAAGGAAGGCCAGUGGCGAAGGCGAGUUCCUGGACAGUUACUGACGCUGAGGCACGAAGGCCAGGGGAGCAAACGGGG
RNAcentral lists this ribosomal RNA (254 nucleotides) under uncultured bacterium. Its description in RNAcentral is "partial 16S ribosomal RNA". It matches the Rfam family "Bacterial small subunit ribosomal RNA", at positions 524 to 777 of the family's 1533-position model. The record is from RNAcentral.